This is a long non-coding RNA of Herpailurus yagouaroundi (jaguarundi), 1045 nucleotides long. RefSeq lists it as uncharacterized. Lineage: Eukaryota; Metazoa; Chordata; Mammalia; Carnivora; Felidae. The transcript is spliced from 5 exons. The record is from RefSeq and is a predicted model, not a curated record.
UCACGAUCAGCAAUGAUCUUGGCAGGCUAAGAACGAGCCUGAGCAAGUGUCUGAGUAAAGUCCUUUCUUAUCUACAAUUCCAGCUCCACUAGACAAGGAGGAUGAAGGGAAAUUAAAGACACCUUCAGAAUAAAAGAGAACCAGAGUCCAGAGGAGCAAUUUACAAUCUGCUUCCUGAAAUCAGCUGAAAACUCCUGACGGGAGUUCAGUUCGGCCACUCCUAAAUCUGGUUAUAUAAAUUAUUCAAUGUGUCCUACUCCCUCCAUUCACCACCUUUCAGAUAAGACACGGAACCCAAAGAAUUCAAGGAGGGUGUGCCCGUGUUCACACAGUUCCUAAGCGGCAAGACGGGAAUUUGAAUAGAACCCGCCUGACAAAAGUCUGAAUUAACGCUCUUCUCCAAAAUGCCUAAAUGGAUGUGGUGUAGACAUGUGCAGAGACAGGAUGUUAGAAUAAAGCCUAGAAGAACAGAGAGAAAACAAGAAUAGAAGAAAGUGAAAGGCUGUCCUCCAUGGGUUCUGUCACUUCCCCGUGCGAUCAGCCCUCCGCCAGUCAACUCGGGAGACCCAACCAGCUCUCACUGGAAUCCUGAGAGCUCGUGGGGCCAACAGCCAUCCUGUGGCCCCCUGGGGGCUGAGGAAGGGCCACCAUCACGAAGGCAGAGCUGGAAAUGAAGAUGUGCGUGACCCUCACCUGUGUGGAACCAGGGGUAGGCUGGACUCACAGUUGGAGAGCUCUUAAAUUCACGCCCCUUUCCCUCUCCAACCAGACUGAGUGGGCAACGUCUUAGCAACUAAAAAACCAUUACAACUGCUCAGCACACAGACAAGGAAAAUGCCCGUAUGAUGGAAUCAGAAGCAGUGAAAGCUGAAUUUAGGUUUUUGGUCCAUCUGCACUCUUACAGAGGAGCAGAGGCCUAAAGCUUUCUGAGAGUCUUCCAGAAAACUGAGCAGAGGUGAGUGCAGCCUCAGCCUGUGGUGCUACAUCAUCCCAUCUCUGAAUAAAAGGAACCCUUUCCCGUGGCUCCUGUCUCCUUCUGAUACAA